This 77-nucleotide transfer RNA is filed under the name candidate division WWE3 bacterium RIFCSPLOWO2_12_FULL_36_10. RNAcentral describes it as "tRNA-Asp". It matches the Rfam family "tRNA". From Rfam's summary of the family: Transfer RNA (tRNA) molecules are approximately 80 nucleotides in length. Their secondary structure includes four short double-helical elements and three loops (D, anti-codon, and T loops). Further hydrogen bonds mediate the characteristic L-shaped molecular structure. tRNAs have two regions of fundamental functional importance: the anti-codon, which is responsible for specific mRNA codon recognition, and the 3' end, to which the tRNAs corresponding amino acid is attached (by aminoacyl-tRNA synthetases). tRNAs cope with the degeneracy of the genetic code in two manners: having more than one tRNA (with a specific anti-codon) for a particular amino acid; and 'wobble' base-pairing, i.e. permitting non-standard base-pairing at the 3rd anti-codon position. The record is from RNAcentral. Lineage: Bacteria; candidate division WWE3.
GGGGCUGUAGCUCAGUUGGUUAGAGCGCUUCCCUGUCACGGAAGAGGUCGCGGGUUCGAGCCCCGUCGGUCCCGCCA